This 502-nucleotide long non-coding RNA is filed under the name Rattus norvegicus (Norway rat). RNAcentral's name for it is "long non-coding RNA NONRATT001479". Lineage: Eukaryota; Metazoa; Chordata; Mammalia; Rodentia; Muridae. The record is from RNAcentral.
CCACUGAACCAUCUCUCCAGCCCGUGAAGUUCUUUUAGUAUUUAUUAAUUUUGUUUUUGAGACAGGACCUCACUUUGUAGCCCCGGCUACUCAGACUUCCUAGGGACCCUAGGCUAACCUUGAACUCAUGGAGGUCUUGAUGCCAGGUCAGUAGGUCUGACUCUACUUCUUGGCUGAUAUUCGUCAGUGAGUUGUGUUUAAAGUUUGCCCCGUGGGAUAGCUGGCGUGGAAAUUGCCUUGGUCUUGAGUCUAGCUUUCACAUUAGGCUCUGGGCAGACUGGUAGUCCUGUGGCCUUGGGUUUGUGUCUCUGGUGUGAGAGAGAAGCAGGGACCAGAAGGUAUCACCAGACCUAUGUGUCCCAGGUGUCCCUGGACCAGUAUCAGACGGAGGAUGAGCUGUAUCAGCUCUCUCUGCAGCGAGAGCCACGUUCCAAGUCAUCGCCCACCAGCCCCACCAGCUGCACCCCGCCUCCCCGGCCGCCUGUGCUGGAAGAGUGGACCU